AUUGAACGCUGGCGGCAUGCUUUACACAUGCAAGUCGAACGGGGUGAGGGGGCAACCUCUCAUCUAGUGGCGAACGGGUGAGUAAUGCAUCGGAACGUGUCCCGUAGUGGGGGAUAACCCGGCGAAAGCCGGACUAAUACCGCAUAUGCUCUACGGAGGAAAGUGGGGGACCAGUAAUGGCCUCACGCUAUGGGAGCGGCCGAUGUCCGAUUAGCUUGUUGGUGAGGUAAUGGCUCACCAAGGCGACGAUCGGUAGCUGGUCUGAGAGGAUGAUCAGCCACACUGGGACUGAGACACGGCCCAGACUCCUACGGGAGGC
RNAcentral lists this ribosomal RNA (319 nucleotides) under uncultured bacterium. Its description in RNAcentral is "bacterial SSU rRNA". It matches the Rfam family "Bacterial small subunit ribosomal RNA", at positions 30 to 349 of the family's 1533-position model. The record is from RNAcentral.